This 58-nucleotide transfer RNA is filed under the name Dixonius melanostictus. RNAcentral describes it as "tRNA-Cys". Lineage: Eukaryota; Metazoa; Chordata; Lepidosauria; Squamata; Gekkonidae. The record is from RNAcentral.
AAGCCCCGGCACCCUUUACGGGUGCUGCUGCAAAUUUGCACUUUGCUCCUUCAGGGCC